GACGAACGCUGGCGGCGUGCUUAACACAUGCAAGUCGAACGGAAAGGCCCUGCUUUUGUGGGGUGCUCGAGUGGCGAACGGGUGAGUAACACGUGAGUAACCUGCCCUUGACUUUGGGAUAACUUCAGGAAACUGGGGCUAAUACAGGAUAGGAGCUCCUGCUGCAUGGUGGGGGUUGGAAAGUUUCGGCGGUUGGGGAUGGACUCGCGGCUUAUCAGCUUGUUGGUGAGGUAGUGGCUUACCAAGGGUUUGACGGGUAGCCGGCCUGAGAGGGUGACCGGCCACAUUGGGACUGAGAGACGGCCCAGACUGCUACGGGAGGCAGCAGGGGGGAGUAUUGCACAGUGGGCGGAAGCCUGAUGCAGCAGCGCCGCGUGCGUGAUGACGGCCUUCGAGUGGUAAACCGCUGUCGCCUGUGACGAAGCGUGAGUGACGGUAAUGGGUAAAGAAGCACCGGCUAACUACGUG
This 468-nucleotide ribosomal RNA is filed under the name uncultured bacterium. RNAcentral describes it as "partial 16S ribosomal RNA". It matches the Rfam family "Bacterial small subunit ribosomal RNA", at positions 28 to 507 of the family's 1533-position model. The record is from RNAcentral.